RNAcentral lists this ribosomal RNA (439 nucleotides) under uncultured bacterium. RNAcentral describes it as "partial 16S ribosomal RNA". It matches the Rfam family "Bacterial small subunit ribosomal RNA", at positions 339 to 795 of the family's 1533-position model. The record is from RNAcentral.
CUACGGGUCGCUCCAGUGAGGAAUAUUGCACAAUGGGGGGAACCCUGAUGCAGCAACGCCGCGUGGAGGAUGACGCAUUUCGGUGUGUAAACUCCUUUUAUAUGUCAAGAAAAUGACGGUAGCAUAUGAAUAAGCACCGGCUAACUCCGUGCCAGCAGCCGCGGUAAUACGGAGGGUGCAAGCGUUACUCGGAAUCACUGGGCGUAAAGGACGCGUAGGCGGGUUGGAAAGUCAGGUGUGAAAUCCUACAGCUUAACUGUAGAAUUGCACUUGAAACUUCUAAUCUAGAGUAUGGGAGGGGGAGAUGGAAUUAGUGGUGUAGGGGUAAAAUCCGUAGAUAUCACUAGGAAUACCUAAAGCGAAGGCGACCUCCUGGAACAUUACUGACGCUAAGGCGUGAAAGCGUGGGGAGCAAACAGGAUUAGAUACCCUUGUAGUC